CGGAUGGGGAACGAGCCAGUUCACCCACGGCACAGCGGACAGGAGGUGAUGGGGCUUUUGACAGGAGGAGGGGUGAGUUGGGGCUGGGGUGCCCCCUCCAGCUCCUUAUUGCCACCCCCCCACCCGGCUGUGCUCAGGGACACAGAGGGAAGGCCACAUUGAGGAUGCGGGGAGAAGACGGCCAUCUGCAAGCUAAGGAGAGAGGCCUCAGAAUGAAGCCAACCUUGAUCUUGGACUUCCUGCCUCCAGGACUGAGGAACAGCAAGGUCCUCACGAGCAGGAACCCAAACGGAGUCAUCCUAAUCACAUGGACCCUGAGAGCAUGUGCUUCGAGGCACAAUAAGAACAAUCAGGAAUUUCAGUGGCUGGAAUGUACUCUAACCCUGACCCCUAAGAACCAAAACUAUGCUUCUUACUAAAAAACAAAACAAAGAAUUCCUAUCUCAGGAUCAGAUCAGGGAAAUAAAGAUCUCUGAGAUCAGGCAGGCUGGACUCAAAUGCCUGUCCUUACUAGACAUGUGCACCUGGACAAGUCACCUCCCUUGCGCUUAGGACAGGGUCUCAGCUUGCCAUGGCCAGUCAAGCCCUGUGUGUCGUGCCCCUUUCAAUCCCAUGAGUCACUGGCCUUUCCUCAGUGCGCCACGCUCCUGUGGACCUCAGGGCCUUUGUGCUUGCUGCUCCUGCUGCCUGAAUCGUCCUGCUCCCCUUCGCCUGGUGACUCACCCUACUGACUGGGCAAGCCUCCCCUGGCUGCCCCUGGGUGAAGUCAGGUCUACCUGUUACACGCUUCGCUGCCACUCUGGACCUCUGCAGGUUGAAAUUAUUUGUGUCAUUUCUUCUUACAAUUAAUAAGCACUUGAUACCAGGUUCUACUUCAGAGAUUCUGAAAGUGAGUGAUUUCAUUUCAUUCUCAUGGUGCCCUCAUAAAGUAUCGUAAGCACCCCACUUCGUGGAAGGGGAGGCUGAAGUUCAGAGAAAUUAAACAACUCGCCUGAGGUUGCACAGCGAUUGAGUGUCAGAGCUCCCCUCCUAAGCCUGUCCUCGCAGGCUGACUCUGAGCUCUGUGAGGGUGGAUGCACAUCGGGUCGUUGUACGCAUCCCCAGGGCUGAGUGCCCAGACCCACUGAAUCACAGAUGACUGCAAAGCACUGACGACCUAAAUGAAACAGCAUCGCACUAGCAACAAGCACUCCUAGUGUUCAGAUCUUGGUUUCUAAUACCAUUCUCUAAUCAGAGGAACCACACUCGGAGAAACGGCUGCUUCUAAGAUUGGGAUCAGGAAAUACACAUGAGAAGAACCUGCAGCAUCUUGCAGUGCUAGAAAGUAAGGAAGUCCCCCAGAAAAAUCAAACAAGCUAAAAAAAAAAAAAAAAAAAAAAACCACCAAAACACAUUGAUAGGAGUGUGUCAAAAACCAAAGGUGGGCUUCCCUGGUGGUCCAGUGGAAAAGAAUCUGACUGCCAAUGCAGGAGACAUGGGUUGGACCCCUGGUUUGGGAAGAUCCCAAAUGCCAAGGAGCAGCUAAGCCUCUAGAGCCUCAACUAUUAAGCCCUAAGUACUGAAGGCCGCACACCCUAGAGCCUGUGCUCCAGGACAAGAGAAGUCACUGCAAUAAGAAGUCUGUGUGUUGCAACUAGAGAAAAGCCUGCAAUGAAGACCCAACACAGCCAAAAAUAAAUAAAUUAAAAACAAAACAAAGGAGCCAACUGAAAGGGCUCCCAGUGGCCAAUGCUGGAGCAAUUUGAGCAACAAAAUAAAGUAGUAUUGGUUAUAAUCCAGAGUAUAAAUAAAUACUCAGGAAGCUAUACUGAUCUAAUUAAAUGACUGGAUAAACUAAUAAACAGGGGGAGAAGAGGUAAGCCUUUCAUGCAGAAGGAUUCCAAGUAAUUUAUGUAGAUAUCCACCCUUAAGGAGAACACACAUGUCCACUCUCUAUGUGGGCUGCAUAUAGUGACUUCCUUCCAAAGGAAAAGGGGAAAAGUCACUUUACAAUGGAGAAACCUGACAAAUACUAAGUCAACCAGGUGAUGAAGGCCAAUAUCAACAUGCAUAAAGUUGAUAGUACAUAUCCUUUUUUAAAAAAAGAAUUCUCUUACUUUCUUUUAUUUUGGCCUCACUGCUCCACCUGUGGGAUUUUAGUUCCCUGACCAGGGAUCAAACCCAGGCCCCCUGAAUUGGGGGGAACAGUGUCCUAACCACUGGACCACCAAGGAAGUCCCCAAUUGUAUGUAUCCUUGACAUGGCAUGAUGGAAAUGGCCCUUUAUCUCUUUGGUCUUCCUCCCUCAAACCCAUCAUUCCAGGAUUACCACAAGAAAUAUACCAGACAAAUGCCAAUAGAGGAGUAUCCUACCAAAUAUUUGACCAGGUCUCUCAGAACAAUUAAGAUUAUCAAAAUCAAGCAAAGUCAGAGAACCUGCCAAAGCUAAAAGGAGACUAAAGAGACAGGACAACUAAGAGACUGGAUCUUAAAAGUUCUCAUCACAAGAGGAAAAAAAUCUAACUGUGGUGAUGGAUGUUAAUCUUUAACCAUCUUAUUAUGGUGAUCAUUAUGUAAUAUACACAUGCAUCAAAUCAUUAUGCUGUAUACCCCAAAACCAAUGCAAUGUUAUAUAUCAAUUAUCUAUCUCUUUUUAGAGAGAGAAGAUAACUAAGUGUAAUGUGGUAUCCUAGAUGAGAUUCUGGAAGACAAAAAGGACAUUAGGUAAAAACAAAGGAAAUCAAAACAUGAACUAGGUUUGACAAGAAUCUAUCAGUCAUGGUUCAUUAAGUAUAACAAAUGUAUCCUACUAAUGAAAGAUGUUACAAAUACAGGAAACUGGAUGUGGGUAAAAAGGUAACUGUUUUCUGUGCAAUAUUUCUGUAAAUCUAAAAUUCUUCUAAAAAGUAAAGUAAAAAAAAAAGUAAAGUCUACGAAUGAUAGCAAUGAUAAAGCAUAGAUGAAUGAUCACAAUACUUCAUUAAUCAUCAUGGUGACAAUGACUAUAGCUCUCUUCUUACAUUGCUAUUGUGAGCACUCCGUAGGACCAACAUAAAGCAUUUAGCAUGAGUUAUAGCUCAAUUCUGGAGAAGGCAAUGGCACCCCACUCCAGUACUCUUGCCUGGAAAAUCCCACGGACAGAGGAGCCUGGUAGGCUGCAGUCCAUGGGGUUGUUAAGAGUCAGACACGGCUGAGCGACUUCACUUUCACUUUUCACUUUCAUGGACUGGAGAAGGAAAUGGCAACCCACUCCAGUGUUCUUGCCUGGAGAAUCCCAGGGAUGGGGGAGCCCGGUGGGCUGCUGUCUAUGGGGUCGCACAGAGUCGGACACGACUGAAGCGACUUAGCAGCGGCAGCAGCAGCAGCAUAGCUCAAUUCAGAGCACUGCACUUGUCACCAUUCUACGAAAUCUAUGCCAUCCACCAUGGAAGCCAUGAGCUCUACAUGACAAAAUUUAAAUUAAGUAAAAAUUAAAUCAAUGGAGUUCUUGUGGCAAGAAAACUGGAGUGGUUUGUCAUUCCCUCCUCGUUUUGUCAGAACUUUCCACUAUGACCCAUCCAUCUUGGGUGGCCCUGCACAGCAUAGCUCAAAGCUUUAUUGAGUUAAUGCAAGCCCCUUGACCACAACAAAGCUACAAUCCAUGAAGCUCCAAUACUUUGGCCACCUGAUGUGAAGAGCAGAUUUCACUGGAAAAGACUGAUGCUAGGAAAGAUUAAAGGCAAAAGGAGAAGGGCGUGGCAGAGGACGAGAUGGUUAGAUAAUAUCACUGACUCAAUGGACAUAAGUUUGAGCAAACUCCAGAAGAUAAUGAUGGACAAGGAAGAGUGGUGUGCUGCAGUCACAGGGGUUGCAAAGAGUCGGACACAACUUAGCAGCUGAACAACAACAACAACAAAAAUUAAGUUCAUUAAAUGCUCAGUUCUUUAGUGCUACCAGCUACAUGUCAAGGGCCCAGGAGCCACAUAGAGCUCGUGGCUAUUAAAUUUGGCAGUAUUGAUUAAAAAAAAAUGCCCAUGAGCACAGAGUGUUCUGUCGGACAACACUGCACAAAACAAUAAACAGCAUGAUUGUUUGUUCAGUGUUCUUGACUCCUUCGGGUCCUUCUGCAAAUCUUACCUUCUCAACCUUCCUGACAGCCCUCUUUCAAACUGCAACCCCCACCCCCACCCCACAUACCC
This is a long non-coding RNA of Dama dama (fallow deer), 4156 nucleotides long. RefSeq lists it as uncharacterized. The record is from RefSeq and is a predicted model, not a curated record. NCBI's taxonomy places the organism in Eukaryota, Metazoa, Chordata, Mammalia, Artiodactyla, Cervidae. The transcript has 3 exons.